Helianthus annuus (common sunflower) is the source of this 1627-nucleotide long non-coding RNA. RefSeq lists it as uncharacterized. The record is from RefSeq and is a predicted model, not a curated record. Lineage: Eukaryota; Viridiplantae; Streptophyta; Magnoliopsida; Asterales; Asteraceae. The transcript is spliced from 3 exons.
UGUUUUUUUUUUUUUUUUUUUUUUUUUUGAAGAAAGCAAGUGAUUUGUGGUAAUUUUGGGAACGAAAAUUGGGGGGUUUUGAUGUUUUUUUUUCCCUCAAAGAUUGGAGAACAAAAACAUUUUGAAGGAUUUAAGGGUUUAAUUUUUGAGUUAAAGAUUAUAAAAAUUGGAUCUUUUAGGGAAACUAAAGCAGGGUUUCUUGUGGUUUUGGGGGUUUUUCUGUUUCUAGGUUUGGUCAUCAAUUAUUAGUUUUAAGAGUAAUUUGGGGGGUUUUCUGUUUCUAGGUUUGGUCAUCAAUUAUUAGUUUUGAGAGUAAGAUUCUUAAGAGAAAACUACAUCAUAAAUUAUCAUUGAUAUAUUGAGAAAAGGAUCAUUGUUUCGAAUUUGAUUGUCAAAUGCUUAAAUUCUUGUUAUGUUUCUAUAAUAAUUUAUGUAGAAAUUGGAUAAUACGUUUUAUGCUAGUAUCUUUUUGUUUUCAACAAAUUUUCAAGAUUAGAUGUCUGCAACUACAAUCUGUAAUAUCUUUUAUGGCUACAUUCAAGUAUUCAUGAGGCGAGAGAGAGAGAGAAUGAGAUUGUGAUAAAAGAGAUUUGGGGUUGUUUAUUUGUUUAAAUAUAUUUUAAAUACAUUAUUAAAAUUACUAACUUACUCUCGUGUGCAAAACACAUGUCAUACUUAACUGAAUUUUUAACUUAGUUAGUGUUAAAGGACGUAUAGUGUAGUGGUUUUACAAAAAAAGGACUGUAACUGUAAUUAUUGAAGUUAAAGGGCAUCCAUUGCAAUUUGAUACAUACAUAAAGGACGAAAAAUGUAAUUUACCCGUAUAUAUAUUAACGUCUCUUCAGCAAACUUAUAAGCAACUUCCAUCAUACAAAUAAAAUUCUGAAGCAAGAAACCAUUUCACAUAUUCAUAAACACCUCCAACAACCACCCAGCCUUCCACCUAUGUUGAACCAUCAUAACCAUCACCCCUGUUAAGAGUAUCAGACCAUUACCGAACCACCCAAAGCACACCCGAACUAGCUUUUCUACUUUCUGUUGCCUUUGUUCGAUCCAUUAGAAGCACCAAACCCGACAUCACCGUCACCUUCAUUAUUCCGGCCAAACCUAAACGAACUCAAACACUAAAUAAUACCAUUAUUACAUGUCUUCAUCUUGUUAGUAACCUUUGAACCACCGCACUUGACCUCACAACACGAACCGAUAUUUUCCGGCAAUCCCAUAGAGUAGACGUCUCAACCCAAGGUAGAUCUUGUAAACGUCGCUCGUGAACAAGGCGAUUUCGCUUUAAAACAAUAAAGCAUCGACAUCAUGUGCUCCUUCCGUGACGGAGAGAUCAGUUCACGGCGUGCCUAGGUACAAGUGAGGUACAAAGCUACUAGGAGGCUUAUGGAUUGAUCCUAGGAUUUAAGUUAAGGAGGUGGAUACCGGGCAUGCCAACUCGCCAUCUCGUGUGAUAAUUAUGCAGGAGUAGCUACCUGUGUAUUGUCACGUUUUAAGUUUGGCUCAUGGGUACAUCCGUAGGAUAUGAUUUAAAUUACGAAAUUACAUUACUUGCAUCGUAUCAUUUUAACAUAAAGUUCCAUCCGGAUAACAUUUCAUAUAAAGCAUUAUUUUUAUUUGAGCC